This 441-nucleotide ribosomal RNA is filed under the name uncultured bacterium. Its description in RNAcentral is "partial 16S ribosomal RNA". It matches the Rfam family "Bacterial small subunit ribosomal RNA", at positions 338 to 795 of the family's 1533-position model. The record is from RNAcentral.
CCUACGGGAGGCAGCAGUGGGGGAUAUUGCACAAUGGGGGAAACCCUGAUGCAGCGACGCCGCGUGGGUGAAGAAGUAUUUCGGUAUGUAAAGCCCUAUCAGCAGGGAAGAAAGAAGACGGUACCUGACUAAGAAGCCCCGGCUAACUACGUGCCAGCAGCCGCGGUAAUACGUAGGGGGCGAGCGUUAUCCGGAUUCACUGGGUGUAAAGGGAGCGUAGACGGCCGUGCAAGCCAGGAGUGAAAGCCCGGGGCCCAACCCCGGGACUGCUCUUGGAACUGUGCGGCUGGAGUGCGGGAGGGGCAGGCGGAAUUCCUGGUGUAGCGGUGAAAUGCGUAGAUAUCAGGAGGAACACCGGCGGCGAAGGCGGCCUGCUGGACCGCGACUGACGUUGAGGCGCGAAAGCGUGGGGAGCGAACAGGAUUAGAUACCCUGGUAGUC